Tachyglossus aculeatus (Australian echidna) is the source of this 138-nucleotide small nucleolar RNA. Lineage: Eukaryota; Metazoa; Chordata; Mammalia; Monotremata; Tachyglossidae. The record is from RefSeq and is a predicted model, not a curated record.
UCUCUCUCAGAAUCACACCUGGUGAGUUUCCAGUACUCUACCAGUCCCGACUACGGGAGGGAGAGUCAAGCAGAGGCAUACCCAUUCCAUUCCUAGCUUGGGCAGCGGUUAGUGAGUGGAAGGCAAUCUGCUACGACU